Molecule: ribosomal RNA, 450 nt
Filed under: Burkholderia sp. MRh3(34)
Lineage: Bacteria; Pseudomonadati; Pseudomonadota; Betaproteobacteria; Burkholderiales; Burkholderiaceae
Description: bacterial SSU rRNA
Rfam family: Bacterial small subunit ribosomal RNA
Source: RNAcentral
AACGGCAGCACGGGGGCAACCCUGGUGGCGAGUGGCGAACGGGUGAGUAAUACAUCGGAACGUGUCCUGUAGUGGGGGAUAGCCCGGCGAAAGCCGGAUUAAUACCGCAUACGAUCUACGGAAGAAAGCGGGGGAUCGCAAGACCUCGCGCUAUAGGGGCGGCCGAUGGCAGAUUAGCUAGUUGGUGGGGUAAAGGCCUACCAAGGCGACGAUCUGUAGCUGGUCUGAGAGGACGACCAGCCACACUGGGACUGAGACACGGCCCAGACUCCUACGGGAGGCAGCAGUGGGGAAUUUUGGACAAUGGGGGAAACCCUGAUCCAGCAAUGCCGCGUGUGUGAAGAAGGCCUUCGGGUUGUAAAGCACUUUUGUCCGGAAAGAAAACCUUUGGGCUAAUACCCUGAGGGGAUGACGGUACCGGAAGAAUAAGCACCGGCUAACUACGUGCCA